CAAGUCGAACGAUUAAGACUUCCUUCGGGAAGUGCAUAAAGUGGCGCACGGGUGAGUAACACGUAAGUAAUCUACCUUUGAGUGGGGAAUAACCCGGGGAAACCCGAGCUAAUACCGCAUAAUGCAGCGGCAUCGCAAGAUGACAGUUGUUAAAGGAGCAAUCCGCUUAAAGAGGAGCUUGCGGCAGAUUAGCUAGUUGGUAAGGUAACGGCUUACCAAGGCUACGAUCUGUAUCCGGUCUAAGAGGACGGUCGGACACACUGACACUGAAUAACGGGUCAGACUCCUACGGGAGGCAGCAGUCGGGAAUUUUGGGCAAUGGGCGAAAGCCUGACCCAGCAACGCCGCGUGAAGGAUGAAGUAUUUCGGUAUGUAAACUUCGAAAGAAUAGGAAGAAUAAAUGACGGUACUAUUUAUAAGCUCCGGCUAACUACGUGCCAGCAGCCGCGGUAAUACGUAGGGAGCAAGCGUUGUUCGGAUUUACUGGGCGUAAAGGGCGCGUAGGCGGCAAAUCAAGUCAUCUGUGAAAUCUCCGGGCUUAACUCGGAACGGUCAGCUGAUACUGUUUUGCUAGAGUGCAGAAAGGGCAAUCGGAAUUCUUGGUGUAGCGGUGAAAUGCGUAGAUAUCAAGAGGAACACCUGAGGCGAAGGCGGGUUGCUAGGCUGACACUGACGCUGAGUGCGCGAAAGCCAGGGGAGCAAACGGGAUUAGAUACCCCGGUAGUCCUGGCCCUAAACGAUGAAUACUUGGUGUCUGGAGUUUCAAUACUCCGGGUGCCGUCGCUAACGUUUUUAGUAUUCCGCCUGGGGAGUACGCUCGCAAGAGUGAACUCAAAGGAAUUGACGGGGACCCGCACAAGCGGUGGA
RNAcentral lists this ribosomal RNA (867 nucleotides) under uncultured Bacillota bacterium. Its description in RNAcentral is "bacterial SSU rRNA". It matches the Rfam family "Bacterial small subunit ribosomal RNA", at positions 58 to 936 of the family's 1533-position model. Lineage: Bacteria; Bacillati; Bacillota. The record is from RNAcentral.